GAAUACCCUCGGCCACACCUGGCCUUCUCCAUGCUCAGAAUAACUUCCUGCAGCGACCAACAGGCUAAAGAGGGGGAAGUUCUGGAGGGAUCCAGCACCGGCUCCUCCUCCGGCAACCACGGUGGGAGCGGCGGAGGAAAUGGACAUAAACCCGGGGUGAGUGGCUGGCGUGAAUCUCCCACCAACCGCGGGAAGAAAAAGGAGAGCAGCUGGUUUCACUCGCAGGAUCGCGGAGAUGGGGCUGGAUGGCCGCGGAGGUGGAGCGGAAGCGGCUCGCCCCAGGGUUAAAAUGCUGCCAUUUUGGGGCUGGGACUGGUCUGGGAGGGGACUGAGGGAAAGUCUCCCCUUUCUCUCCCCGGCAGUGUGAAAAGCCAGGGAAUGAAGCCCGCGGGACCGGCGAAUCUGGGAUU
RNAcentral lists this small RNA (410 nucleotides) under Pongo abelii (Sumatran orangutan). Its description in RNAcentral is "retained intron". The record is from RNAcentral. Lineage: Eukaryota; Metazoa; Chordata; Mammalia; Primates; Hominidae.